Molecule: ribosomal RNA, 270 nt
Filed under: uncultured archaeon
Lineage: Archaea
Description: partial 16S ribosomal RNA
Rfam family: Archaeal small subunit ribosomal RNA
Source: RNAcentral
CAGCAGCCCUAGUGGUGAUCGUUAUUAUUGGGCCUAAAGCGUCCGUAGCCGGUUCGGUAAAUCUCUGGGUAAAUCGUUGGGCUUAACUCAACGAAUUCUGGGGAGACUGCCGAACUUGGGACCGGGAGAGGUCGGAGGUACUCCAGGGGUAGGGGUGAAAUCCUGUAAUCCUUGGGGGACCACCGGUGGCGAAAGCGUCCGACCAGAACGGGUCCGACGGUAAGGGACGAAGCCCUGGGGCGCGAACCGGAUUAGAGACCCGAGUAGUCC